AUAAAGGUUUUUUUAAAAACCACACAUGCAUACAUAUGUUCAUUG
Non-coding RNA from Homo sapiens (human), 45 nucleotides. The record is from Rfam. Lineage: Eukaryota; Metazoa; Chordata; Mammalia; Primates; Hominidae.